CCGGACGAAGGCGGCUCCGCGCUCUUUCUGUCGGCCGGGAAAAUGCAGCCCGAGGUGGCAGAGAGGUGGAAGGAGGACUGAGGCCGAGGCUCCGGUCUCCCUCUGUCCGCCUCACCCUGGGGCCGCCGAGCCCUGUCCAAGAGAAGGGAACCGGGAGUUAGGACUGGACACGUGGGGUGGUGACUCCCUGUCAGAAUCUGUCUGCUUUUGUUCACUCUCCAAUGCCUUCGGAGAGUUGUUCUUCGGUGUAUUUUCAUCCAGAGUUUAUAUCCAGUCCAGCAUAGUGGCUUACUAGGACACACCAUUAUAUUCUUUGGAAAGAAGUCCACACAUUGUCUCUUGACUCAUAUUGUUGCUGACAUCUCGCUACUCCAGGAUCCCAUCGUGUGCAUUGAGAUCAGGGAACCUAUCUUAACAGAUGCCUACCACAGCAUGGCUUUUGCCAAGAGGUGCCAUGUCUGCACCCGGGAUCCGAACCAGCGACCCCCAGGCGGCCAAGAAGCGAAAUGUGCAAACUUAACUGCUGCACCACCGGGCUGGCCCCCUCAUUUCUUUAUAGCCAUUACUCCACCAAGAGUUAUCACUGCACUGACUUCUAACAGCGUGGAUAUUUGGGUAGUUUCCAGUUUAGGGCUAUUACAAGGU
RNAcentral lists this long non-coding RNA (645 nucleotides) under Equus asinus (donkey). Its description in RNAcentral is "lncRNA (ENSEASG00005030957.1)". The record is from RNAcentral. Lineage: Eukaryota; Metazoa; Chordata; Mammalia; Perissodactyla; Equidae.